GGGCGGAUAGCUCAGCUGGUUAGAGCACCGGUUUUACAAGUCGGGGGUCACAGGUUCGAACCCUGUUCCGCCUACCA
RNAcentral lists this transfer RNA (77 nucleotides) under bacterium. RNAcentral describes it as "tRNA-Val". It matches the Rfam family "tRNA". From Rfam's summary of the family: Transfer RNA (tRNA) molecules are approximately 80 nucleotides in length. Their secondary structure includes four short double-helical elements and three loops (D, anti-codon, and T loops). Further hydrogen bonds mediate the characteristic L-shaped molecular structure. tRNAs have two regions of fundamental functional importance: the anti-codon, which is responsible for specific mRNA codon recognition, and the 3' end, to which the tRNAs corresponding amino acid is attached (by aminoacyl-tRNA synthetases). tRNAs cope with the degeneracy of the genetic code in two manners: having more than one tRNA (with a specific anti-codon) for a particular amino acid; and 'wobble' base-pairing, i.e. permitting non-standard base-pairing at the 3rd anti-codon position. The record is from RNAcentral. RNAcentral also lists the same sequence under 2 other names.